UAAAAUUAAAAAAUUUGGCGGUAUUUUAGUCUUUUCAGAGGAACCUGUUCUAUAAUUGAUAGUCCACGAUUAAUUGUACUUGCUUUAUAAAUUUAUAUAUCGUCGUAGUUUGAAUGUUUUAUAAGAAUAAAUAAUGUUCAUGAUUUAAAAUUAUAAAAUAAAUCAGAUCAAGGUGUAGUUUAUAAGUAAGAAGAAAUGGGUUACAUUUAAAUAAUUAUUGGAUAAUUUUAUGCAAAUGAAGUUUGAAAUUGGAUUUGAAAGUAAAUUUAAUAAUUUAUUUUGAUUGAUUUAAGCUCUAAAAUAUGCACAUAUUGCCCGUCACUUUCGUUUUAAAAUGAGAUAAGUCGUAACAAAGUAGAUUUACUGGAAAGUGAAUCUAGAAG
Molecule: ribosomal RNA, 383 nt
Filed under: Phlogistus leucocosmus
Lineage: Eukaryota; Metazoa; Arthropoda; Insecta; Coleoptera; Cleridae
Description: partial 12S ribosomal RNA
Source: RNAcentral